Molecule: ribosomal RNA, 254 nt
Filed under: uncultured prokaryote
Description: partial 16S ribosomal RNA
Rfam family: Bacterial small subunit ribosomal RNA
Source: RNAcentral
UACGGGGGAUCCAAGCGUUAUCCGGAAUUACUGGGCGUAAAGAGUUGCGUAGGUGGCAUUGUAAGUUGAUAGUGAAAGCGUCCGGCUCAACCGGAUAAACAUUAUCAAAACUACAAAGCUAGAGGACGAGAGAGGUAAUUGGAAUUCCUAGUGUAGGAGUGAAAUCCGUAGAUAUUAGGAGGAACACCGAUGGCGUAGGCAGAUUACUGGCUCGUUCCUGACACUAAGGCACGAAAGCGUGGGUAGCAAACGGG